GUGAAUAAAAAAAAUUCAACGAAGACCAGUAUGAAUUGUUAAGCUGUACAGGGAUAUGCAAAUUUGAUUGUGGAAAUAGAUGACAUUGCAAGCAUGUCAUACUACAAAGGCCAACUCAUGCCAAGGGAAUGCAGCAUUUCAGUUAAUCAUGAUCAUAAUAUUGCAUAUUAAUAGAAGGUUGAUAAAGCUUACACUGAAUACACUUGAGGCUGACAACCAUUUUUCUGACAACCAUUUUUCAGAUUAUAUAUAGCUUAAUCUUUGUGUGCAAAACCUAUAAAAAUUACCACCAUUUCUGUAAUAUAAUGCAUCUGACAGUUUAGACCAUGGAUGCCAUGUGAAAAGGACAACUCCCUGUUGCAAGUGUGUAUCUAUAUAUCUAUACUUUCGUUUCUGUAAAAACAAUAAAGAUCGCAGGCAACCUUGUCACCGUUUUGACGUCCACAGCUUCCUCUGAUAUGCCAGAAGCUGAAAUAAUUAAAGCAGCAGAAACAGAAAAUUAUUAAGGUACACCUUUAUCUACCAUCAUAUAGAACUAAGCUGAAAUAACACAAACUCACCAGAUGCCCUUGAGUAAAAUUACCGGUUUUAAGUCCUGCCAGAGUUUCUUUGUCCUCUAAAACCUGCAACUUAUCUUUGCAUGAAUCAAUUGUAAUAGGCAUAGAAAUUGAUAGACUUGUGCGGGUCGAAGAAUUAGACACAGAAUUCAACUCUUUCACCAGGUAUAUCUCAACUUCAUCUGCUGGCAGAGCAGUCUGGAGAGCAACAUACUCACAUAAGUGUUUGACUGACAAAGUUGGCCUGCAGCAGAGGUACGGCCUCUGUAAACUAGGUAGUCUUUGUUCAUCAAAAGAAACAAGCAUGAGGUGGAAAUCCAACUCGUUAUCAUUUUCCUCCAAAUUUCGAAGAUAAUCUGCCAACUUAGAGAUCCGGCUGUUCCGGACAUUCUUUCCAUUGCCAGCAUUUGCACUGCCAUAUCUUGUGUGACUCCGCAUACCACCUUUCCCCCAGGCAAGCCUUUCUGAAGGGCCAACAAGCCCAGCAGAAGACCCCAUGGAUUCUCUAUUCACUUCUGAAUCAUUUUCAUCUCCACCUGCAUCUGCAAAAGCAGCUGCUGAGUGAGAACCCCCCCAUCUCUUGUAUCUUUUUGGUUUAACUUCUGCACUGUGCUCCUCAGCAGAUGAUGAAUCUUUGCAUCCAUCACCAUUGGCAUCUUCAUUGUCAUCAGACCCUUGAAUAUCAGCUGUUUGAUAAUUUCUCCUCCCUCUUGGGUGGGCAUCUCUGUGACGGCCUGGUGUUCUCCUAGAAAAUGCAGCUAUUGUGGCUUUAGAUGUUGUCCGUUUCCUACCAAGAGCUUCAGCUUGUCGGCGAAAAGUCUGGGCAAUGGAAGCUUGGAUCUGCUUAUUGCGAGCCUUCUCCUCCUCAUGAAAAGCCAACUCCUCUUCCUCAUAUUUGUCAAUAUCUGGAUACAAAGCGGCUAUUAGUGCAUCAUAAUUUGGGUCAUCUCUCAGCGAACGACGACUGGCACAGUGGGUGCGGCAAGCAGGGCACUCAUUGUUCCCAAGCCUCAUAGAUUUGUCUAUGCAUUCCCUACAGAAGCGAUGCAGGCAUUCCAUCACUGUCCUGGUUUUUCGAAUAAUCCCUAAACAGAUUGGACAUUGCACUUCCUUGCGUAUUUCAGACAACUUCACUACAACAUAUCUGCAUAGAAGCAAGACCAGAAACAAUAUUAGUUUCCAGCAUAUUACAUUGUUCAUGACUAGUUGUUGAUGCUACAUUGCCUCUUGCCUUUCCUUUUCCAUGCACAAGCAUCUAUUGAUUCUAAUCUCUAAAUUAAAUGAGUGACCUUUCAAAUGCGUGAAGUCACAGUAAAGCUAAUUGUGCUGCAUAUCAAUAUGCCAAACUAUUUCAUGUGACUAUAAGAUCACAAGAAAAGCCAAUUGAGACUUUACAUAUCAGAAAAGUAUUGGUAGCACUAUUGAAUGGGGAGAUCAAAGGAAAAUGCAAACUUGGCUGCACUUUUUUUGGCUGUUCAGAGUUAUAACAAAAAUGUGACUAGCAGAAUGCUCUGAGACAUACAGAAUCCUUCUGAAGUAAUGUAUGAUAAAAGGACACCCAAAAUAUUUGAAGGUUAAUAUUUUAAAGUUUUGCUUCAAAGUUGAGAUCUUUAUGUUUCACAUGUUAAUAUGAGUUCAAUCAACUGUGGGUACAACAAAGACUCAUGUCUUUAUCAUGAAAUAUUAUCCUAAAAGUUUAACUGAAUCAGACAUUUGAAUGUGGUUCAAUAACUUUUCAGGCACAAGCCUAGCUUUGGAGCUUCCAAAAGAAAGGAAAAAGAAGGAACAUCUCUUCUGGGGAACUGGAAAAGAUUCUCUGGAGGCCAAUUUCACCCUAUCACAAGUUUUUGUACCAUAUAGAAAAAGCCAAAAAUGUCCCAAAGGCAUAUCCAUUAAGAAUAUGAAGCACCUCCCCCAAAAAGCCUUGAUAUAUAGUUUCCAUUGUAUAUCAAUCAUAUAGCAAAUGAAGCAUAAGUAGCUAAUAUGGUGUUUUAUAUAAAUGAAUCCAAUAGAUUAAGCAGGCUCUGAAAUUCCCCCAACCAUAUAUGCAAUCAAAAGAAUUUUGUUUUACAGACAUUUUUCAGAUGGAUACCAAUCAAAUGAAGACUUAUCAAUAGCAGCUUGGUGGUGUAAAAUCCUCAGUCUCAAAACAAAUUGCAUAAUAUAACUAAAUUUCAGCCAAUCUAUAUAGAUAAUCAAUAUGUUGCAUAAGCCUAACAUGAACUAGCACAAUUGACAUUUGGCAAUACCCAUUCGUUUCAUCUUUUGGGUUGAUACUUUGUCUUAAGUGUGACAUGCUGCACUACAAACAUGAGACUACAUGCUGGUUUAGCAUUUCCACCCAAUAAAAACACCAAAUAGUCAGAUGUUGUAGUUUGUCAAGAUCUGAUAUCUAAAUCCAGCAAUCUGUGAAAAAAAAUGAUUACCAAUUAUGACAUAGUGCAAUGAAAUUUUUCAGAAGAGAUUUUUUCAAUUACAACAAAUUUGUAAAAUUACUAAAAACAAAGACGUAAACUAUGUUUGGAAUCAUGAUUAUAUUGCAUAAUCCCCAUUGUUGCAACAUUUGGUAAAUAUCAUUUUAUGGUUCCAUGAGAUACAUUGUGUAAUCCAAAAAAAGAAAAAGGGAAAUAAAAACAAAAUUGCCAUUAUGAAAUACAAACCUUCUAGAGUUACUGAGAUAAAAUGCAAAGACCAACAGAACAGCAUUCUGAUAGAAAUUAACAUACCAAAAAAGAAAAAGAAGAAGAAUAAGAAAUGGGUCAAACCAAUUAGUUCAAACAAACGCAAUGUGAUUCUUGACCCUCGAUAACGCAAAAGGGAACACAAUUAACAUGUCAAAACAGCUAGAAUACUCGGUGAAUCGUGUUCCUUUAUAAUGGAUUUGCAUAACAUAGGUUGGCCAAGAAUUUGACAGCCAAUACGCAAUUACGAAGCUGCCAGUUAAACCAAAAUCUCAGUUCCAUUGAUUUAGCCUCUUCCUAUCCGAAACUAGAAAGCAAACUAAUAAUCUAGCAAUCACGCAGCCACAGGAUUCCUACAGAGCAUUCAGACACAAAUUUCACCAGCAUAAACAAAUCCCAAUACGAUGCUGCAACUGUAUAACCAACCAUAAAUCAUAACAGGAGAAACUAACUCUAGUGCUCAUACACCAAUUCGAGCCAAAAUCACCACGUAUCGUAACGCCCACCACAGAACUCCACCUACCGUCAAUUAAGACAAGAUUACGCAUCAACAGAAAAGACAGCAAAGAGAGAGAUAACAUCUGAACAAUAACGAGUUAAGCCAACCAUAGCCAGCCAGCAAAAGCUUGAAAAAUCAACGAUAGAUAUUUUAACAACGGGAAUCCUCUACAAACCCACAUAAGCUUAUCCCUUAGUAUACUCGUAAAAUGUGACGAGCAAAACAGCAGCAGACAAACAAAGCAUGCAGAUCCCAAAUCAAAACCUCACCAUUCACGCAUCAAAAGCAACAAUACAAUCGAAUAGAACGUGGCGAUCCAGAGAAGAAGAAGAAGAAAAGAAUGUUCAACCAAAACAAGCAACAAACAGACAAUUACGUACUCCUCUUUCUCCUCUUCAUUACUCGAAGAUGGGCUUCGAUCGGAUUCUGUGAAACAACAGAAAAACAACGCCAAAGAGAAGAACUUCAGCUAAACGACAAUCAAAUCCGAAAACAAAAUGCACAAACUUUGUGAGUUCUCUUUUUCCCUUUACUCUGCUAUAAAAUUGUGUAGUUGUACACGUACCAUCAGCAACAUCAUCAUCACCAUCACCAGGCGGCGACUGCUGCAGUUCAUGGUGGUUGUUGGGUUGGUCUCGCUGCAGAGGAUCAUCGUCCUUUUGAUGGGUCUCGUAAGGGCGUUUCUGGGCUGGCAUUUUUUUUGCUUAUAUUGAAAAAUCCAACAAUGAAAGCAAUUUAUGGGAUGUUUUCUCUGCCGCAAAGAUGUUAAAGGUUAAUGUUGCUGCUCCUCGAUUAUAUAGAUAAAGGGCCGCGGAGAGGAAGAGCGAAAGCCAGAGAGAUUGAAGGUGGUCGAAUAUAGCUUGACCUCCCUGCCGCGUUAGAGAAUAGAGAGAGAGAUUAUAAAGAAAGUCGUAUGAGCAGAGGCUGCCUGUCUCUCGUGGUCGUGGUACUCACCGGGCCUCUAUUGUAUUAUACGUAUGUGUACUCUCUUAUAUAUAACAAUAACAUCACCCUUCUGUUUUUU
RNAcentral lists this unclassified non-coding RNA (4761 nucleotides) under Hevea brasiliensis (rubber tree). The record is from RNAcentral. Lineage: Eukaryota; Viridiplantae; Streptophyta; Magnoliopsida; Malpighiales; Euphorbiaceae.